GUGUCACUGUUUGCUGAAAGCUAGUGAUUGUACGUUAAAAUAGGGAACUACUUUGUAUGCGGCACGCGGAGUAGUACAGUAGCGAACUACAGUAGCGCGAGAUAAAAGACUCGAACAAGGGCGUAGGCAACGGGAGUUGCGAGAAGAUGGAGGACUGCGGAUGUGCGGGCGCGAAUUGUGCGGCGAUGAAGUGUGGAAUACUGAGAUGGCAGAAGGAUGGUGUUGGUUGAAGGUUCAGAUGGUUUUCUCAAGUCAGGUUUCCCUUCUAACUACAUCGUGUCAGCCCUGUUACCAUGAUAAUUCUUCAAAUUUUCUGAUGGCGGUACCCAGGCUUCUCAAGACUUUCGAGCUAGAACAUCAGCUUUUAUUCUCAUUUACUUGACAUCUGAGUUAAAAGUGGACUGGUGGCAUAUCGAGUGCUGCUAUUAGCCCGUGGCUGCUUAUGGAGUGCAGUCUGCCUAUUGGAUGUCGAAUGGUCAGAAUGGAUACGCCAGUACAUCUCUUCUGGGGAUGCAGUAGUGCCUGCAGCUACCUAUGAGGCGCUGUCAGUGGACAGCAGACCAGUUCGAGGGACCCACCUGAACUGUCUGUCAUUCCGAUUUGGGGUACAGCAAGGACAACGGAAACCCUGUGCCACACUUGGGGUUAAAUCCAUCCAGCAGCUGCUCUUCAAAGAGAACUUGGUGACACUGCCAACUCCUCUGCAACCAGGGCCUUUAAAAUAUCCUGACAGCCUAUUUGCGGGAUGCCUUCGCACCCAUGAUAACUUUUCCGUAAGGGUGCAUUCAGUGUGCAGGUGCUCUGGCCUCAGUAUAUGUCCAGGCUGUAGAUAGCCUGAGAGCCUUCUUAAUGGGACAUACAAGAGCCAAUAUGGGUGUUGUCAGAUUAGCAACUAUUCAGAUCAUGGGACUCGGAUUAUGCCAGAGUACCAGAGUAAUUUACAUUUUAUGGAAUGUAGUAUACUGAGUACAGAGCAUCAGUUCAUUUGGUAAUGAACCCAGCCAUCAUUCUGGGCAAAUAACUUGUCAGAGUCACAUUUUUUGUGAGAGAACUAUUCUCAUACUACGGUAUAUUGAUAAUUUUCACUUAUGGACCGUCUGACAGCAACUGAAUAAAACACAAUUUUAGUGCCAUACGCGUUUCGCCUUUAUUUUCUGCAAGGCAAAUGUAAAUAAAAUA
This 1179-nucleotide long non-coding RNA is filed under the name Schistocerca americana (American grasshopper). RNAcentral describes it as "uncharacterized LOC124619543". The record is from RNAcentral. Lineage: Eukaryota; Metazoa; Arthropoda; Insecta; Orthoptera; Acrididae.